Molecule: long non-coding RNA, 563 nt
Organism: Solanum dulcamara
Lineage: Eukaryota; Viridiplantae; Streptophyta; Magnoliopsida; Solanales; Solanaceae
Exons: 3
Source: RefSeq, a predicted model, not a curated record
UAAUAGUCAAUAUAUCGGCAAAAAGAUGCGCGGACUGAAAUAAAAGUAAAAAAAUGACUCCAAAAUUUCACUUUCAUCCCAAAAUCCCUAAAAUUCAAGGCAACUUUCUCAGAUCUCAAAAGCUACGGGGCUUCAUCUCCACAACUCAGGAGGUUGCAAUUUCCUCACUCAGAACUCUACUAUUGAGAUUAUCUGCUUAAUCAAUAGUGAUCAACAUUUUGAUAGCAUGGAGACAUUUGGAGUCGUUUUUGGAGCAAAAAAUUAUUGGGAAAUGGACUUGGAGCAUGCGUGUUCGGCUUCGAGCAGGGUUUAUGACUCGAGUUCCAUCAAAAGAUAAUCAAGACGUUGAAUCUUGUUGGUUAUACAAGGGUUUAGGUCGUAAAUCUAAGUCUAAGGGCGUAUUUUCUAUUUCUUGUAUUUUGGCUAUGCUAGACAUUUGUAUUUGACUGACUUCUUCAAAUAAAUAGGGAUAAUCUAUUGUAUCUUUUAUAGCAAAGCAAUCUGAAUGAUGAGUAUUUGAAAUUGCAUAUGAAAUAACAUAAGUUAUCGAAUAUGACCUAUUA